UUAAGCGACUAAGCGUACACGGUGGAUGCCCUGGCAGUCAGAGGCGAUGAAGGACGUGCUAAUCUGCGAUAAGCGUCGGUAAGGUGAUAUGAACCGUUAUAACCGGCGAUUUCCGAAUGGGGAAACCCAGUGUGAUUCGUCACACUAUCAUUAACUGAAUCCAUAGGUUAAUGAGGCGAACCGGGGGAACUGAAACAUCUAAGUACCCCGAGGAAAAGAAAUCAACCGAGAUUCCCCCAGUAGCGGCGAGCGAACGGGGAGCAGCCCAGAGCCUGAAUCAGUGUGUGUGUUAGUGGAAGCGUCUGGAAAGGCGUGCGAUACAGGGUGACAGCCCCGUACACAAAAAUGCACAUACUGUGAGCUCGAUGAGUAGGGCGGGACACGUGGUAUCCUGUCUGAAUAUGGGGGGACCAUCCUCCAAGGCUAAAUACUCCUGACUGACCGAUAGUGAACCAGUACCGUGAGGGAAAGGCGAAAAGAACCCCGGCGAGGGGAGUGAAAAAGAACCUGAAACCGUGUACGUACAAGCAGUGGGAGCACGCUUAGGCGUGUGACUGCGUACCUUUUGUAUAAUGGGUCAGCGACUUAUAUUCUGUAGCAAGGUUAACCGAAUAGGGGAGCCGAAGGGAAACCGAGUCUUAACUGGGCGUUAAGUUGCAGGGUAUAGACCCGAAACCCGGUGAUCUAGCCAUGGGCAGGUUGAAGGUUGGGUAACACUAACUGGAGGACCGAACCGACUAAUGUUGAAAAAUUAGCGGAUGACUUGUGGCUGGGGGUGAAAGGCCAAUCAAACCGGGAGAUAGCUGGUUCUCCCCGAAAGCUAUUUAGGUAGCGCCUCGUGAAUUCAUCUCCGGGGGUAGAGCACUGUUUCGGCAAGGGGGUCAUCCCGACUUACCAACCCGAUGCAAACUGCGAAUACCGGAGAAUGUUAUCACGGGAGACACACGGCGGGUGCUAACGUCCGUCGUGAAGAGGGAAACAACCCNNNNNNGACCGCCAGCUAAGGUCCCAAAGUCAUGGUUAAGUGGGAAACGAUGUGGGAAGGCCCAGACAGCCAGGAUGUUGGCUUAGAAGCAGCCAUCAUUUAAAGAAAGCGUAAUAGCUCACUGGUCGAGUCGGCCUGCGCGGAAGAUGUAACGGGGCUAAACCAUGCACCGAAGCUGCGGCAGCGACGCUUAUGCGUUGUUGGGUAGGGGAGCGUUCUGUAAGCCUGUGAAGGUGUGCUGUGAGGUAUGCUGGAGGUAUCAGAAGUGCGAAUGCUGACAUAAGUAACGAUAAAGCGGGUGAAAAGCCCGCUCGCCGGAAGACCAAGGGUUCCUGUCCAACGUUAAUCGGGGCAGGGUGAGUCGACCCCUAAGGCGAGGCCGAAAGGCGUAGUCGAUGGGAAACAGGUUAAUAUUCCUGUACUUGGUGUUACUGCGAAGGGGGGACGGAGAAGGCUAUGUUGGCCGGGCGACGGUUGUCCCGGUUUAAGCGUGUAGGCUGGUUUUCCAGGCAAAUCCGGAAAAUCAAGGCCGAGGCGUGAUGACGAGGCACUACGGUGCUGAAGCAACAAAUGCCCUGCUUCCAGGAAAAGCCUCUAAGCAUCAGGUAACAUCAAAUCGUACCCCAAACCGACACAGGUGGUCAGGUAGAGAAUACCAAGGCGCUUGAGAGAACUCGGGUGAAGGAACUAGGCAAAAUGGUGCCGUAACUUCGGGAGAAGGCACGCUGAUACGUAGGUGAAGCGACUUGCUCGUGGAGCUGAAAUCAGUCGAAGAUACCAGCUGGCUGCAACUGUUUAUUAAAAACACAGCACUGUGCAAACACGAAAGUGGACGUAUACGGUGUGACGCCUGCCCGGUGCCGGAAGGUUAAUUGAUGGGGUUAGCGCAAGCGAAGCUCUUGAUCGAAGCCCCGGUAAACGGCGGCCGUAACUAUAACGGUCCUAAGGUAGCGAAAUUCCUUGUCGGGUAAGUUCCGACCUGCACGAAUGGCGUAAUGAUGGCCAGGCUGUCUCCACCCGAGACUCAGUGAAAUUGAACUCGCUGUGAAGAUGCAGUGUACCCGCGGCAAGACGGAAAGACCCCGUGAACCUUUACUAUAGCUUGACACUGAACAUUGAGCCUUGAUGUGUAGGAUAGGUGGGAGGCUUUGAAGUGUGGACGCCAGUCUGCAUGGAGCCGACCUUGAAAUACCACCCUUUAAUGUUUGAUGUUCUAACGUGGACCCGUGAUCCGGGUUGCGGACAGUGUCUGGUGGGUAGUUUGACUGGGGCGGUCUCCUCCUAAAGAGUAACGGAGGAGCACGAAGGUUGGCUAAUCCUGGUCGGACAUCAGGAGGUUAGUGCAAUGGCAUAAGCCAGCUUGACUGCGAGCGUGACGGCGCGAGCAGGUGCGAAAGCAGGUCAUAGUGAUCCGGUGGUUCUGAAUGGAAGGGCCAUCGCUCAACGGAUAAAAGGUACUCCGGGGAUAACAGGCUGAUACCGCCCAAGAGUUCAUAUCGACGGCGGUGUUUGGCACCUCGAUGUCGGCUCAUCACAUCCUGGGGCUGAAGUAGGUCCCAAGGGUAUGGCUGUUCGCCAUUUAAAGUGGUACGCGAGCUGGGUUUAGAACGUCGUGAGACAGUUCGGUCCCUAUCUGCCGUGGGCGCUGGAGAACUGAGGGGGGCUGCUCCUAGUACGAGAGGACCGGAGUGGACGCAUCACUGGUGUUCGGGUUGUCAUGCCAAUGGCACUGCCCGGUAGCUAAAUGCGGAAGAGAUAAGUGCUGAAAGCAUCUAAGCACGAAACUUGCCCCGAGAUGAGUUCUCCCUGACCCUUUAAGGGUCCUGAAGGAACGUUGAAGACGACGACGUUGAUAGGCCGGGUGUGUAAGCGCAGCGAUGCGUUGAGCUAACCGGUACUAAUGAACCGUGAGGCUUAACCUU
This 2907-nucleotide ribosomal RNA is filed under the name Shigella flexneri. RNAcentral describes it as "bacterial LSU rRNA". It matches the Rfam family "Bacterial large subunit ribosomal RNA". The record is from RNAcentral. Lineage: Bacteria; Pseudomonadati; Pseudomonadota; Gammaproteobacteria; Enterobacterales; Enterobacteriaceae.